CGGGGCUUCUGACCAUCCUGCGUGUCCCAGGCUCCAGAUGCAGUGGGGUCCUGGGGGUGUCGAAGCUGGGCCCCGGUCAGCCAGGCGUGAGGGUGGCUGUGCCCACGAUGGACCCUGCUGGGCCGCUCAACAUGCCCAGGGAGACACCACCUUCCUAGCAGCUGCUGGCCGGCCUUGUCUUCCGCGGGUCUGGGGAAUCUUGCUGUUUCCACAGGGCUGGGGUCAAGCCCAGGGUCUUGCACACAGGACGGGCAGGUGCUGAAGCACUGAGUCCUGUCCUCGUGCCCACUGUUAACCAGGCCUCCUCUGUCCAGACUGCACAGGGGCUGCUCCAUCCGCACUGCAGUGCAGGAGCCACCAGCCCCACGAGGCCACUGAGCAUGUGGGCUCAAGGUGACUGAGGUCCCUUUCAAGGAGCCUCCUGGGGCUGCACGAACCACAGCUCUGAGGCAGCCCAGGCUAUUUGGGCACUGACCACAGUGGUGGCACACAGACCUGGCAGAGCUGUAGGACUGGAUAAGCACACCUGGGGGGCAGGCCAGGGACCCCCAACAACGGCUGUGCUUCCAUCGGUGGGGACACAAUCGAGAGCUAUGUCCUGGGCCUGGGAAUUC
RNAcentral lists this long non-coding RNA (614 nucleotides) under Marmota monax (woodchuck). Lineage: Eukaryota; Metazoa; Chordata; Mammalia; Rodentia; Sciuridae. The record is from RNAcentral.